UGACCUCGGAUCAGGUAGGAAUACCCGCUGAACUUAAGCAUAUCAAUAAGCGGAGGAAAAGAAACCAACAGGGAUUGCCUCAGUAACGGCGAGUGAAGCGGCAACAGCUCAAAUUUGAAAUCUGGUCCCCCGGGGCCCGAGUUGUAAUUUGCAGAGGAUGCUUUUGGCGCGGUGCCUUCCGAGUUCCCUGGAACGGGACGCCACAGAGGGUGAGAGCCCCGUCUGGUCGGACACCAAGCCUCUGUAAAGCUCCUUCGACGAGUCGAGUAGUUUGGGAAUGCUGCUCAAAAUGGGAGGUAUAUGUCUUCUAAAGCUAAAUACCGGCCAGAGACCGAUAGCGCACAAGUAGAGUGAUCGAAAGAUGAAAAGCACUUUGGAAAGAGAGUUAAACAGCACGUGAAAUUGUUAAAAGGGAAGCGUUCAUGACCAGACUUGGGCCCGGCUGAUCACCCAGCGUUCUCGCUGGUGCACUCUGCCGGCCCAGGCCAGCAUCAGUUCGCCUCGGGGGAUAAAGGCGUCGGGAAUGUGGCUCCUCGGAGUGUUAUAGCCCGUCGCGCAAUACCCUGGGGCGGACUGAGGUUCGCGCACUGCAAGGAUGCUGGCGUAAUGGUCAUCAACGACCCGUCU
RNAcentral lists this ribosomal RNA (627 nucleotides) under Stachybotrys nephrospora. RNAcentral's name for it is "eukaryotic LSU rRNA". It matches the Rfam family "Eukaryotic large subunit ribosomal RNA", at positions 1 to 654 of the family's 3401-position model. Lineage: Eukaryota; Fungi; Ascomycota; Sordariomycetes; Hypocreales; Stachybotryaceae. The record is from RNAcentral.